UCGAGAAUUUUUCUCAAUGGGGGAAACCCUGAAGGAGCGACGCCGCGUGGAGGAUGAAGGUCUUCGGAUUGUAAACUCCUGUCAUUUGGGAACAAUUGUCAUCCGUUAACUGCGGGUGGCUUGAUAGUACCAGAAGAGGAAGAGACGGCUAACUCUGUGCCAGCAGCCGCGGUAAUACAGAGGUCUCAAGCGUUGUUCGGAUUCAUUGGGCGUAAAGGGUGCGUAGGUGGCGCCAUAAGUCAGGUGUGAAAUCUCGGAGCUCAACUCCGAAACUGCACUUGAUACUGUGGUGCUGGAGUACUGGAGAGGAGAUUGGAAUUUACGGUGUAGCAGUGAAAUGCGUAGAUAUCGUAAGGAAGACCAGUGGCGAAGGCGAAUCUCUGGACAGUUACUGACACUGAGGCACGAAGGCCAGGGGAGCAAACG
RNAcentral lists this ribosomal RNA (426 nucleotides) under uncultured Chthoniobacter sp. RNAcentral's name for it is "bacterial SSU rRNA". It matches the Rfam family "Bacterial small subunit ribosomal RNA", at positions 355 to 774 of the family's 1533-position model. The record is from RNAcentral. Lineage: Bacteria; Pseudomonadati; Verrucomicrobiota; Spartobacteria; Chthoniobacterales; Chthoniobacteraceae.